This is a non-coding RNA of Picea glauca (white spruce), 119 nucleotides long. The record is from Rfam. NCBI's taxonomy places the organism in Eukaryota, Viridiplantae, Streptophyta, Pinopsida, Pinales, Pinaceae.
GGGUGAAAUCAUACUAACAUUAAUGCACCAAAUACCAUCAUAACUUCAUAGUUAAGUGGUCUUGGGAUAGAGUAGUAUUGGGAUGGGUGACCUCCUAGGAAUUCCUAGUGUUGCACCCU